AUUGAACGCUGGCGGAAUGCUUUACACAUGCAAGUCGAGCGGCAGCACGGGGGCAACCCUGGUGGCGAGCGGCGAACGGGUGAGUAAUACAUCGGAACAUGCCCAGUCGUGGGGGAUAACACUUCGAAAGAAGUGCUAAUACCGCAUACGUCCUGAGGGAGAAAGCGGGGGAUCGCAAGACCUCGCGCGAUUGGAGUGGCCGAUGUCAGAUUAGCUAGUUGGUGGGGUAAAGGCCUACCAAGGCAACGAUCUGUAGCUGGUCUGAGAGGAUGAUCAGCCACACUGGGACUGAGACACGGCCCAGACUCCUACGGGAGGCAGCAGUGGGGAAUUUUGGACAAUGGGGGCAACCCUGAUCCAGUCAUUCCGCGUGAGUGAAGAAGGCCUUCGGGUUGUAAAGCUCUUUCGGCAGGAACGAAACGGCGAGCUCUAACAUAGCUUGCUAAUGACGGUACCUGAAGAAGAAGCACCGGCUAACUACGUG
RNAcentral lists this ribosomal RNA (484 nucleotides) under uncultured bacterium. RNAcentral's name for it is "partial 16S ribosomal RNA". It matches the Rfam family "Bacterial small subunit ribosomal RNA", at positions 30 to 507 of the family's 1533-position model. The record is from RNAcentral.